Molecule: ribosomal RNA, 449 nt
Filed under: uncultured bacterium
Lineage: Bacteria
Description: partial 16S ribosomal RNA
Rfam family: Bacterial small subunit ribosomal RNA
Source: RNAcentral
AGCGAACGCUGGCGGCAGGCCUAACACAUGCAAGUCGAACGAACUCUUCGGAGUUAGUGGCGGACGGGUGAGUAACACGUGGGAACGUGCCUUUAGGUUCGGAAUAACUCAGGGAAACUUGUGCUAACACCGGAUGUGCCCUUCGGGGGAAAGAUUUAUCGCCAUUGGAGCGGCCCGCGUCUGAUUAGCUAGUUGGUGAGGUAAAGGCUCACCAAGGCGACGAUCAGUAGCUGGUCUGAGAGGAUGAUCAGCCACAUUGGGACUGAGACACGGCCCAAACUCCUACGGGAGGCAGCAGUGGGGAAUCUUGCGCAAUGGGCGAAAGCCUGACACAGCCAUGCCGCGUGAAUGAUGAAGGUCUUAGGAUUGUAAAUUUCUUUCACCGGGGACGAUAAUGACGGUACCCGGAGAAGAAGCCCCGGCUAACUUCGUGCCAGCAGCCGCGGUAA